This 245-nucleotide ribosomal RNA is filed under the name uncultured Actinomycetales bacterium. RNAcentral's name for it is "partial 16S ribosomal RNA". It matches the Rfam family "Bacterial small subunit ribosomal RNA", at positions 88 to 334 of the family's 1533-position model. The record is from RNAcentral. Lineage: Bacteria; Bacillati; Actinomycetota; Actinomycetes; Actinomycetales.
UGCUCGAGUGGCGAACGGGUGAGUAACACGUGAGUAACCUGCCCUUGACUUUGGGAUAACUUCAGGAAACUGGGGCUAAUACCGGAUAGGAGCUCCUGCUGCAUGGUGGGGGUUGGAAAGUUUCGGCGGUUGGGGAUGGACUCGCGGCUUAUCAGCUUGUUGGUGGGGUAGUGGCCUACCAAGGCGGCGACGGGUAGCCGGCCUGAGAGGGUGACCGGCCACAUUGGGACUGAGAUACGGCCCAG